This 291-nucleotide unclassified non-coding RNA is filed under the name plant metagenome. RNAcentral describes it as "partial contains small subunit ribosomal RNA, internal transcribed spacer 1, and 5.8S ribosomal RNA". The stretch from base 1 to 54 matches the Rfam family "Eukaryotic small subunit ribosomal RNA", at positions 1778 to 1831 of the family's 1831-position model. The record is from RNAcentral.
GGAAGUAAAAGUCGUAACAAGAUUUCCGUAGGUGAACCUGCGGAAGGAUCAUUAAUGAGUUGUCAUGGGGUUCGAUGCUGGCGGCCAAUUUUUGGAUGCAUGUGCUUGCCCUAACAAUCAUCUUCCAAACACCUGUGCACAUUUUUGAGGGAGUCUUGAGUUGGUUGCCGCUCUUGGGUGAUUUUCUCACAUUCCCUUAAAUCAUUAUACGCUAUUAACAAUGUUGAACGUGCUCUGUGCCGCAAGGCUAUUAAUAUAAUACAACUUUUAACAACGGAUCUCUUGGCUCUC